Molecule: ribosomal RNA, 497 nt
Filed under: uncultured bacterium
Lineage: Bacteria
Description: partial 16S ribosomal RNA
Rfam family: Bacterial small subunit ribosomal RNA
Source: RNAcentral
GAUGAACGCUGGCGGCGUGCCUAAUACAUGCAAGUCGAGCGAACAGACGAGGAGCUUGCUCCUCUGACGUUAGCGGCGGACGGGUGAGUAACACGUGGAUAACCUACCUAUAAGACUGGGAUAACUUCGGGAAACCGGAGCUAAUACCGGAUAAUAUAUUGAACCGCAUGGUUCAAUAGUGAAAGACGGUUUUGCUGUCACUUAUAGAUGGAUCCGCGCCGCAUUAGCUAGUUGGUAAGGUAACGGCUUACCAAGGCGACGAUGCGUAGCCGACCUGAGAGGGUGAUCGGCCACACUGGAACUGAGACACGGUCCAGACUCCUACGGGAGGCAGCGGUAGGGAAUCUUCCGCAAUGGGCGAAAGCCUGACGGAGCAACGCCGCGUGAGUGAUGAAGGUCUUCGGAUCGUAGAACUCUGUUAUUAGGGAAGAACAAAUGUGUAAGUAACUAUGCACGUCUUGACGGUACCUAAUCAGAAAGCCACGGCUAACUACGUG